GACGAACGCUGGCGGCAUGCCUAAUACAUGCAAGUCGAGCGAACAGAUGAAGUGCUUGCACUUCUGACGUUAGCGGCGAACGGGUGAGUAACACGUAAGGAAUCUACCUAUAAGCGGGGGAUAACAUUCGGAAACGGGUGCUAAUACCGCGUAAUAUCUUCUUCCGCAUGGAAGAAGAUUGAAAGACGGCUCUGCUGUCACUUAUAGAUGACCUUGCGGUGCAUUAGUUAGUCGGUGGGGUAACGGCCUACCAAGACGAUGAUGCAUAGCCGACCUGAGAGGGUGAUCGGCCACAUUGGGACUGAGACACGGCCCAAACUCCUACGGGAGGCAGCAGUAGGGAAUCUUCCGCAAUGGGCGAAAGCCUGACGGAGCAAUGCCGCGUGAGUGAAGAAGGCCUUCGGGUCGUAAAACUCUGUUAUAAGAGAAGAACAAAUUGUAGAGUAACUGCUACAGUCUUGACGGUAUCUUAUCAGAAAGCCACGGCUAACUACGUGCCAGCCGCCGCAGUAA
RNAcentral lists this ribosomal RNA (513 nucleotides) under uncultured bacterium. RNAcentral describes it as "partial 16S ribosomal RNA". It matches the Rfam family "Bacterial small subunit ribosomal RNA", at positions 28 to 523 of the family's 1533-position model. The record is from RNAcentral.